CCUACGGGGGGCUGCAGUGGGGAAUAUUGCACAAUGGGCGCAAGCCUGAUGCAGCCAUGCCGCGUGUGUGAAGAAGGCCUUCGGGUUGUAAAGCACUUUCAGCGGGGAGGAAGGCGUUAAGGUUAAUAACCUUGGCGAUUGACGUUACCCGCAGAAGAAGCACCGGCUAACUCCGUGCCAGCAGCCGCGGUAAUACGGAGGGUGCAAGCGUUAAUCGGAAUUACUGGGCGUAAAGCGCACGCAGGCGGUCUGUCAAGUCGGAUGUGAAAUCCCCGGGCUCAACCUGGGAACUACAUUCGAAACUGGCAGGCUAGAGUCUUGUAGAGGGGGGUAGAAUUCCAGGUGUAGCGGUGAAAUGCGUAGAGAUCUGGAGGAAUACCGGUGGCGAAGGCGGCCCCCUGGACAAAGACUGACGCUCAGGUGCAAAAGCGUGGGGAGCAAACAGGAUUAGAUACCCGUGUAGUC
RNAcentral lists this ribosomal RNA (465 nucleotides) under uncultured Klebsiella sp. RNAcentral's name for it is "bacterial SSU rRNA". It matches the Rfam family "Bacterial small subunit ribosomal RNA", at positions 338 to 795 of the family's 1533-position model. The record is from RNAcentral. Lineage: Bacteria; Pseudomonadati; Pseudomonadota; Gammaproteobacteria; Enterobacterales; Enterobacteriaceae.